RNAcentral lists this ribosomal RNA (466 nucleotides) under uncultured bacterium. RNAcentral's name for it is "partial 16S ribosomal RNA". It matches the Rfam family "Bacterial small subunit ribosomal RNA", at positions 28 to 507 of the family's 1533-position model. The record is from RNAcentral.
GAUGAACGCUGGCGGCGUGCUUAACACAUGCAAGUCGAACGAUGAAGCCCAGCUUGCUGGGUGGAUUAGUGGCGAACGGGUGAGUAACACGUGAGUAACCUGCCCUUAACUCUGGGAUAAGCCUGGGAAACUGGGUCUAAUACCGGAUAGGAGCGUCCACCGCAUGGUGGGUGUUGGAAAGAUUUAUCGGUUUUGGAUGGACUCGCGGCCUAUCAGCUUGUUGGUGGGGUAAUGGCUCACCAAGGCGACGACGGGUAGCCGGCCUGAGAGGGUGACCGGCCACACUGGGACUGAGUCACGGCCCAGACUCCUACGGGAGGCAGCAGUGGGGAAUAUUGCACAAUGGGCGCAAGCCUGAUGCAGCGACGCCGCGUGAGGGAUGACGGCCUUCGGGUUGUAAACCUCUUUCAGUAGGGAAGAAGCGAAAGUGACGGUACCUGCAGAAGAAGCACCGGCUAACUACGUG